Molecule: ribosomal RNA, 250 nt
Filed under: uncultured bacterium
Lineage: Bacteria
Description: partial 16S ribosomal RNA
Rfam family: Bacterial small subunit ribosomal RNA
Source: RNAcentral
UACAGAGGGUGCGAGCGUUGUCCGGAAUCACUGGGCGUAAAGGGCGCGUAGGCGGCCGAUUAAGUGUGUGGUGAAAGCCCGGGGCUCAACCCCGGGUCUGCCGUGCAAACUGGUUGGCUUGAGCACUGUAGAGGCAGGUGGAAUUCCGGGUGUAGCGGUGGAAUGCGUAGAGAUCCGGAAGAACACCGGUGGCGAAGGCGGCCUGCUGGGCAGUAGCUGACGCUGAGGCGCGACAGCGUGGGGAGCAAAC